Molecule: non-coding RNA, 90 nt
Organism: Mycena leptocephala
Lineage: Eukaryota; Fungi; Basidiomycota; Agaricomycetes; Agaricales; Mycenaceae
Source: the annotation of a GenBank genome assembly
GGCCUUAUAGUGUAGUGGUAACACAUCCUCUAUUAAUACUGGAGCCUUUCUGGUUGGAGGAAGUCCCAUGUUCGAAUCAAGGUGAGGUUA